Molecule: long non-coding RNA, 476 nt
Organism: Pseudopipra pipra
Lineage: Eukaryota; Metazoa; Chordata; Aves; Passeriformes; Pipridae
Exons: 2
Source: RefSeq, a predicted model, not a curated record
AGGCAGGGAGGGAGGCAUGGACAGUUCUGUGGGACUGAACUUCAUACCCAGUAACGAUAGUUUUUAUAGCAUAUUGCUUCAUCUGCAAGUGGGAGUAAAUAUUACACUACCUCUUCACGCAGAUGGGUGGGUAAGAAGAAAAAAAAACAAAAAACACAACAAACCCCAAAAGCUAAUUUGAAACAAAUUAACUAUUCUGCAUAUGGAUGAAGGUACUUCUCUACCUCCCUGGUCACUCCAGGACUCUGCAGACUGUGCAAAGUUAAUAAACUCGGUGCUGCACAGAUUGCCUGCUGAACCUGCCAACAGGUGAACAGCCUCAAUCCGCAACGGGUAUAAAUAAUCACCAGUCCUCAAAAGCAGGUAUUCUGGGUCACUAUUAAGAGCCCUUUCAAGUCAGCAAAGUUCAGCCAAGUCUACCUUAAUCCCAAACCUUUAAAAGAAACAAUAAAACACGGAAAGGGGGUGGAAGACGA